RNAcentral lists this unclassified non-coding RNA (499 nucleotides) under Scirpoides burkei. Its description in RNAcentral is "partial external transcribed spacer 1f". The record is from RNAcentral. Lineage: Eukaryota; Viridiplantae; Streptophyta; Magnoliopsida; Poales; Cyperaceae.
UCGUUGACUAGCUUUGCAUGGCAGGCUCCCUGCACUUCUGUGCGGCCAACUGUCAUGGGGCGGUCUCUUCGUUGUCCCUUUCGGCUAGUAAUUUGCUGGUUACGGAUGUAUGCUAUCGGUUGCCUGUGCGGUUCUACCCUUGUGGGUAGCACGAUUGUCCCGUCGUUGCCUAUGCAGCUUGCUCUGUUGACGCUUUUCAGUUGACAGGGCGGCCGAAGGUUCAGCAAAUUCCAUGUGCUGCCGUGGGCGUUAGCCUUGGUACUGCGCUUGGAUGUUUGUUGGGUCUCAUGGAUGCGGUGCCUAUCGUGAGCUCUAUGGGCUUUGUGCCCGCAGAACCUGUGAGAUUGCCCCUACAUAGGAUCGUUGCUCUGUCGCUUCACCGACGUGUCGUUUUUUUAAGCGUCAUGUUGGAGUGCUGCUAUCAGGGUGCUAUUCUUUGCAUGUGGCAUGCCUCUUAGACCCGAAUGACUUGCGAUUGCUGGUUUGCGUUGUCACAAGG